CACGUAGGGUGCGAGCGUUGUCCGGAAUUAUUGGGCGUAAAGAGCUCGUGGGCGGUGUGUCGCGUCGGCCGUGAAAACCUGCAGCUUAACUGUGGGCUUGCGGUCGAUACGGGCAUCACUGGAGUUCGGCAGGGGAGACUGGAAUUCCUGGUGUAGCGGUGAAAUGCGCAGAUAUCAGGAGGAACACCAAUGGCGAAGGCAGCUCGCUGGAACGGUACUGACGCUGAGGCGCGAAAGCGUGGGGAGCGAACAGG
Molecule: ribosomal RNA, 254 nt
Filed under: uncultured bacterium
Lineage: Bacteria
Description: partial 16S ribosomal RNA
Rfam family: Bacterial small subunit ribosomal RNA
Source: RNAcentral